AUGAACGUUGGCGGCGUGGAUUAGGCAUGCAAGUCGAGCGAGAACCGUAGCAAUACGGGGACAGCGGCGAAAGGGAGAGGAACACGUGGAUACCUACCCUCAGGUUCAGGAUAGCUAUGGGAAACUAUAGGUAAUACUGAAUAACAUCUCCGGAUCAAAGGUGUGAUUCCACCUGAGGAGGGGUCCGCGUCCUAUUAGCUUGUUGGCGAGGUAACGGCUCACCAAGGCGAAGAUGGGUAUGGGGUGUGAGAGCAUGCCCCCACUCACUGGGACUGAGACACUGCCCAGACACCUACGGGUGGCUGCAGUCGAGAAUCUUCGGCAAUGGGGGAAACCCUGACCGAGCGACGCCGCGUGCGAGAUGAAGGCCUUCGGGUUGUAAAUCGCUGUCAGAGGGGAGGAAAUGCUAGUGGGCUAUCCCAUUAGUUUGACCUAUCCUCAGAGGAAGGACGGGCUAAGUUCGU
Molecule: ribosomal RNA, 464 nt
Filed under: uncultured bacterium
Lineage: Bacteria
Description: bacterial SSU rRNA
Rfam family: Bacterial small subunit ribosomal RNA
Source: RNAcentral